This is an RNA transcript of Hemicordylus capensis (graceful crag lizard), 1824 nucleotides long. It is a transcript of the gene named metallo-beta-lactamase domain containing 1, with no coding region annotated. NCBI's taxonomy places the organism in Eukaryota, Metazoa, Chordata, Lepidosauria, Squamata, Cordylidae. The transcript has 6 exons. The record is from RefSeq and is a predicted model, not a curated record.
CCCAACCGGAAAGAAGCAAAGCGACGCGCGCUCCGCUUCGCGGCCACGCCCCCCACGCCUCUGCCCGGAGGGGCGGGGCCCUGCAGGGGCGGGGCGGGCAGCCUGGGGGGCGGGCCCUGCAGGCGGGUGGCUCCGUCCCUCCCGCCCCCCCGAAGGAGGAGGAGACCGCAGGGAGGCCCCGCCCCGCCCCGCCGCCCGCGCAGCCGCGGAGCCGCCGCGGAGCCCGAGAGGCCGGCUGGGCAGAGGCAAGGCCCGCUCGUGUGGCGGCUGCUCGCCCGGCAAAGGUGACCGGCUGAAGGCGGCGGUGGCACCCUGGACGGGACCCUCCGGGAUUCCUCCCACAAGUCCGCCACAGGAGGACCUUCCCCGCCCCCCCCCCAUGGCCCUCUCCCAGCCCUGGACGGCCCCCCUGGCUGGGCCGCUGAUCCCCGGCUCCCCCUACGCGGUGGUGGUCUUGCAGGAGGGCUACUCCCGAGGCCUCCCGGACGGCAGCAGCCAAGCGGACGGGACGGUCUCUCUGGUCCUGGGGCCCCACCUCACCUUGGUGGACACGGGGGGGCCGUGGGGCCGGGAGCGGCUGCUGGCCAGCCUGGCGAGGCAGGGGGUGUCUCCCGGCGACAUCCGCCACGUGGUCUGCACCCACGGCCACUCGGACCACGUGGGCAACCUCAACCUCUUCCCUCGAGCGGACCUGACGGUGGGCACAGACUUCAGCCAGCCCGGCGGGCGCUACCUCCCCACUGGGCUGCGCCAGGGAGCCCCCUUCCUGCUGGACGCCGGGCGCCUGGAGGUGCUCCCCACUCCUGGCCACACGGGCCACGACGUCAGCCUGCUGGUGCGGGGCACUGCCCUGGGAGACGUGCUGCUGGCCGGAGACCUCUUUGAGCGGGAGGCGGACGAGGGCGAGUGGCAGCGGCUCAGCGAGGCUCCGGGGCGGCAGGCGGAGAGCAGGGCCCGCGCUCUGGGCCUGGCGGACGUCAUUGUGCCGGGACACGGGCCGCCCUUCCGGAUCCUGGUGCCAGCCGUCCACAUCCAAGCAACCGGGCAGCGUGGCUGCUGUGGGAACCGCUGUGGGGUGAGACGGGGCGGGGGCAGCACACCCUGGCCACAACACCUGCUGCCCGUAGGGAGAGGACAGAGCCGCCCCACGGAGGCCUCUGGAGCCCAGGGAUGCCCUUGGCCCUCCCUGCCCCGCUUCCAGGGAGGGGAGCGCCGGAGACGCUGCCCUGGCAGAUGUUCCUCUCGGUGCUCUUUGCGGCAGUGGGGCUGCUGGGGGCCGGCUACGCCCUGGCCGUCUCCGUGCCGGGCCUCGUCCACGGGCCCCUCUGCAAGUACCUGCCGGCCAACGGGACCCUGUCGGAGUGGGGGCGCCCCUUCCAGACCGGCGAGGGGGCUUUGGACUUCAGCGAGGAGAGCUACCUCUUUGACACCAGGCGCUGGGACACCUGCCAGGAGCCUCCCGGGGUCACCCAGUUCAACGUGAUCCUUUUCUCCCUCAUCCUGGGUGCCGGCGGGGUGGAGGCCGCCCUCUGCUUCAUCCAGGUCUUCAACGGGCUCUUGGGCUGCCUCUGUGGGACCUGCAAUGAGGAGAAGACCCCGCCGGCUCCGCAAACCUACAACUGACACCGCGGAGGACGAGACCCCCUUCCUUUUGGGGGGUCGGUCUCUCUCUCUCUCUGCCGUGGAUCUCCCCCCCCGAGACACUCCCCCCCGCCUCUCUUGCGCCCACCGGGAGCCGAGCCCACCCAUUGCCCAUUGAAGACGCCGCCUUUGCCUUUUCUCCCACAGCAAAGAGCAGCAGAAAUAAAGGCCUUGCUCUGCGUC